CCUACGGGAGGCAGCAGUGGGGAAUAUUGCACAAUGGGGGAAACCCUGAUGCAGCGACGCCGCGUGAGUGAAGAAGUAAUUCGUUAUGUAAAGCUCUAUCAGCAGGGAAGAAAAUGACGGUACCUGAGUAAGAAGCCCCGGCUAACUACGUGCCAGCAGCCGCGGUAAGACGUAGGGGGCAAGCGUUAUCCGGAUUUACUGGGUGUAAAGGGAGCGUAGACGGCAGUGCAAGUCUGGAGGGAAAGGCGGGGGCUCAACCCCCGGACUGCUCUGGAAACUGUACGGCUGGAGUGCAGGAGAGGUAAGUGGAAUUCCUGGUGUAGCGGUGAAAUGCGUAGAUAUUAGGAGGAACACCAGUGGCGAAGGCGGCUUACUGGACUGUAACUGACGUUGAGGCUCGAAAGCGUGGGGAGCAAACAGGAUUAGAUACCCCAGUAGUC
RNAcentral lists this ribosomal RNA (440 nucleotides) under uncultured bacterium. RNAcentral describes it as "partial 16S ribosomal RNA". It matches the Rfam family "Bacterial small subunit ribosomal RNA", at positions 338 to 795 of the family's 1533-position model. The record is from RNAcentral.